Molecule: ribosomal RNA, 497 nt
Filed under: uncultured bacterium
Lineage: Bacteria
Description: partial 16S ribosomal RNA
Rfam family: Bacterial small subunit ribosomal RNA
Source: RNAcentral
GAUGAACGCUGGCGGCGUGCCUAAUACAUGCAAGUCGAGCGAACGGACGAGAAGCUUGCUCUUCUGAUGUUAGCGGCGGACGGGUGAGUAACACGUGGAUAACCUACCUAUAAGACUGGGAUAACUUCGGGAAACCGGAGCUACUACCGGAUAAUAUUUUGAACCGCAUGGUUCAAAAGUGAAAGACGGUCUUGCUGUCACUUAUAGAUGGAUCCGCGCUGCAUUAGCUAGUUGGUAAGGUAACGGCUUACCAAGGCAACGAUGCAUAGCCGACCUGAGAGGGUGAUCGGCCACACUGGAACUGAGACACGGUCCAGACUCCUACGGGAGGCAGCAGUAGGGAAUCUUCCGCAAUGGGCGAAAGCCUGACGGAGCAACGCCGCGUGAGUGAUGAAGGUCUUCGGAUCGUAAAACUCUGUUAUUAGGGAAGAACAGAUGUGUAAGUAACUGUGCACGUCUUGACGGUACCUAAUCAGAAAGCCACGGCUAACUACGUG